RNAcentral lists this ribosomal RNA (1507 nucleotides) under Staphylococcus aureus. RNAcentral's name for it is "16S ribosomal RNA". It matches the Rfam family "Bacterial small subunit ribosomal RNA". The record is from RNAcentral. Lineage: Bacteria; Bacillati; Bacillota; Bacilli; Caryophanales; Staphylococcaceae.
AUCCUGGCUCAGGAUGAACGCUGGCGGCGUGCCUAAUACAUGCAAGUCGAGCGAACGGACGAGAAGCUUGCUUCUCUGAUGUUAGCGGCGGACGGGUGAGUAACACGUGGAUAACCUACCUAUAAGACUGGGAUAACUUCGGGAAACCGGAGCUAAUACCGGAUAAUAUUUUGAACCGCAUGGUUCAAAAGUGAAAGACGGUCUUGCUGUCACUUAUAGAUGGAUCCGCGCUGCAUUAGCUAGUUGGUAAGGUAACGGCUUACCAAGGCAACGAUGCAUAGCCGACCUGAGAGGGUGAUCGGCCACACUGGAACUGAGACACGGUCCAGACUCCUACGGGAGGCAGCAGUAGGGAAUCUUCCGCAAUGGGCGAAAGCCUGACGGAGCAACGCCGCGUGAGUGAUGAAGGUCUUCGGAUCGUAAAACUCUGUUAUUAGGGAAGAACAUAUGUGUAAGUAACUGUGCACAUCUUGACGGUACCUAAUCAGAAAGCCACGGCUAACUACGUGCCAGCAGCCGCGGUAAUACGUAGGUGGCAAGCGUUAUCCGGAAUUAUUGGGCGUAAAGCGCGCGUAGGCGGUUUUUUAAGUCUGAUGUGAAAGCCCACGGCUCAACCGUGGAGGGUCAUUGGAAACUGGAAAACUUGAGUGCAGAAGAGGAAAGUGGAAUUCCAUGUGUAGCGGUGAAAUGCGCAGAGAUAUGGAGGAACACCAGUGGCGAAGGCGACUUUCUGGUCUGUAACUGACGCUGAUGUGCGAAAGCGUGGGGAUCAAACAGGAUUAGAUACCCUGGUAGUCCACGCCGUAAACGAUGAGUGCUAAGUGUUAGGGGGUUUCCGCCCCUUAGUGCUGCAGCUAACGCAUUAAGCACUCCGCCUGGGGAGUACGACCGCAAGGUUGAAACUCAAAGGAAUUGACGGGGACCCGCACAAGCGGUGGAGCAUGUGGUUUAAUUCGAAGCAACGCGAAGAACCUUACCAAAUCUUGACAUCCUUUGACAACUCUAGAGAUAGAGCUUUCCCCUUCGGGGGACAAAGUGACAGGUGGUGCAUGGUUGUCGUCAGCUCGUGUCGUGAGAUGUUGGGUUAAGUCCCGCAACGAGCGCAACCCUUAAGCUUAGUUGCCAUCAUUAAGUUGGGCACUCUAAGUUGACUGCCGGUGACAAACCGGAGGAAGGUGGGGAUGACGUCAAAUCAUCAUGCCCCUUAUGAUUUGGGCUACACACGUGCUACAAUGGACAAUACAAAGGGCAGCGAAACCGCGAGGUCAAGCAAAUCCCAUAAAGUUGUUCUCAGUUCGGAUUGUAGUCUGCAACUCGACUACAUGAAGCUGGAAUCGCUAGUAAUCGUAGAUCAGCAUGCUACGGUGAAUACGUUCCCGGGUCUUGUACACACCGCCCGUCACACCACGAGAGUUUGUAACACCCGAAGCCGGUGGAGUAACCUUUUAGGAGCUAGCCGUCGAAGUGGGACAAAUGAUUGGGGUGAAGUCGUAACAAGGUAGCCGUA